RNAcentral lists this ribosomal RNA (1315 nucleotides) under uncultured bacterium. Its description in RNAcentral is "bacterial SSU rRNA". It matches the Rfam family "Bacterial small subunit ribosomal RNA", at positions 26 to 1318 of the family's 1533-position model. The record is from RNAcentral.
GAAUCACGCUGGCGGCGUGCUCAGACAUGCAAGUGAACGUGAAAGCCCCCUUCGGGGGGCAAGUAGAGUGGCGCACGAGUGAGUAACACGUAGGUAACCUACCUUCGGAUGGGGAAUAACAACCGGAAACGGUUGCUAAUACCGCAUAAUGCAGAGGCACCUAAUGGUGACAGUUGUUAAAGCGGGGGAUCGAAAGACCUCGCGUCUGAAGAGGAGCCUGCGGCGGAUUAGCUAGUUGGUAAGGUAAUGGCUUACCAAGGCGACGAUCCGUAGCCGGCCUGAGAGGGCGGUCGGCCACACUGACACUGACAUACGGGUCAGACUCCUACGGGAGGCAGCAGUCGGGAAUUUUGGGCAAUGGGCGAAAGCCUGACCCAGCAACGCCGCGUGAAGGAUGAAAUCCCUCGGGAUGUAAACUUCGCAAGAACGGGAAGAAUAAGUCGGUGCUAACACCACCGGCGAUGACGGUACCGUUUGUAAGCUCCGGCUAACUCCGUGCCAGCAGCCGCGGUAAUACGGGGGGAGCAAGCGUUGUUCGGAUUUACUGGGCGUAAAGGGCGCGUAGGCGGCCACCGCAAGUCAAUUGUGAAAUCUCCGGGCUUAACUCGGAAAGGUCAACUGAUACUGCGGGGCUAGAGUGCAGAAGGGGCAACUGGAAUUCUCGGUGUAGCGGUGAAAUGCGUAGAUAUCGAGAGGAACACCUGCGGCGAAGGCGGGUUGCUGGGCUGACACUGACGCUGAGGCGCGAAAGCUAGGGGAGCGAACGGGAUUAGAUACCCCGGUAGUCCUAGCCUUAAACGAUGAAUGCUUGGUGUCUGGGGUUUUAAAGUCCCCGGGUGCCGUCGCUAACGCUUUAAGCAUUCCGCCUGGGGAGUACGGUCGCAAGACUGAAACUCAAAGGAAUUGACGGGGACCCGCACAAGCGGUGGAGCAUGUGGUUUAAUUCGACGCAACGCGAAGAACCUUACCUGGGCUAGAAUGCCCGUGACAGCCCCAGAGAUGGGGUCUCCUUGGUAGAACUUGGCACGGUGCAAGGUGCUGCAUGGCUGUCGUCAGCUCGUGUCGUGAGAUGUUGGGUUAAGUCCCGCAACGAGCGCAACCCUUAUCAAUAGUUGCCAGCGGUUCGGCCGGGCACUCUAUUGAGACUGCCGUUGACAAAACGGAGGAAGGUGGGGAUGACGUCAAGUCCUCAUGGCCUUUAUGUCCAGGGCUACACACGUGCUACAAUGGCAGGUACAAACCGUCGCAAACUCGCGAGAGGGAGCCAAUCGGAAAAAGCCUGUCUCAGUUCGGAUUGGAGUCUGCAACUCGACUC